AUGCCAUUGGUCGAAGGAGUCAAAGCUCACUGAGAUUCAGGAAGAUGGAAAACAGACUCAAUGGAAAAGUUUCAAAUUGUUUGUGAGUCGAUUUUAAAACUGGCACAUGACUUCAGGGUCAAUUCCCAUUAUCGUGGGGAGGGGCUUCAUAUUUAGAGUCAAUCACACCAGGAGUUGAACAGCGGGUCAGGCAUGUGCUUUUAUUUAGCAAGCAUCAUUGUGUGUUGAUGGUGAGUCUAUCACCGCGCCAGGUGCUGGGGGUUCCACAUUGAGGUAGACACAGUUUAUCCCCUUGAAUCAGGAAAGGAAAGUGGCUAAACACCCAAUGAUAAAUGUGCAGUUUGAGAAAUACGGUGGUGGUGAAUACACAGGGGACAAUGGAACCACAUGGAAAGAGAAGUUAAUUGAGUGAAUUUGGGAAAAUUAUUUAGCAUCUCUCUGUGAUUAGCGUCCCUAUUUGUAUAACAAGGCUGAUAAGACCUGUCUUAUAAGACUGGUUUAAGGAUGAGAUGAGACAAGUAAUCUAAAGCAGCUCCUGAUCAAUCACUUCUCAUCAUCCUGUUGAGGUCUGUGCAAGCAACUUCUCACUAUCUGAGCUUUUCCUAGUUUGUUUAUUUGUUUGUUUGUUUGUUUACUUGCUUAUUAUCUGAACUCACCAAACUAGAAUAUAAGAUAUAUAGAGUCUAUUAUUCAGGCUAUAGUAUAAAAAAUGAACUCGUCUCUGUCUAGAAAGCCCUUCCCUUCAGAUAUUUUGUGGCCAACUCUUUCACCCUUUACAAAAAAGCACUAAAUACGCUGCCUAGUCAUUCUUCUUAAAAUUGCAUCCUAGAACCCCCUCUAUAAUCGCUGGCUUCCCAUUCUGUUCUAUUUUUCUUUUUCAAACAGCACUUAAAACCUCUAACAUACUCUACAUAAGCUUUAGACUUAUUUGUUUAUCCUCUUGCCCUGCUAGAAUGUAAAUUGCAUUAGGGCAGGGAUCUUUGUUUUUUUCACUGAUGCAUCACAGGUGCCUGUAACCAUACCCUUUUCAUAAUGGAACAAAUGAAUCCACUGGGAAGGGGUAGGACAUUGAGUCAGAAGGGUGGCAGGAGUCCUUUGUAAGCCAGGAUAAACAGUUUGGAUUUUUUUUUUUCCAAAAUAAGAUAAACAGUGUAGACUUUUAUGAGAAGGUAUGACAUGAACUAAAUGACAUUUUUACGUCAUUCUGGCUGCUGUAGAGAGAAUGGAAUAGAAGAAGUCAAGAUUGGACAGGACAUGAGUUAGGAGAGAGGGUGAUGGCUUGGACCAAGGUGAUGGUCCUGGAGACAAAGAGAAAUUUGCAGCUUUCAGAUGUGUUUUUACAUGGAAGGAAGAACUGACCAGACAUGCUGAUGGGCUGAACAAGAGGGUGAGUGAGAAGGAAAUCGAGGCUAACUCAUAGGUUUUUGGUUUGAGUAACCUGGCAUGAUAUAAUGUCAUUUACUGAUAUGAGUCAAGACUAAGGAAGAAGCAGAAAGUCUGCGUGUGUGCGUGUGUGUUGGUGUAUGUGUACGUAGUGUGGUGUGUGUGUGUGCAGUGGUGUGUAUGUGUAUUGUGUGUGUUGUGUGUAUUGUGUUUUUUGUUUGUGUAGUUUGGUUGUGUGUUUUUGUGUGUGUAGUAUUAGAUGUGUGUGCAGUGAGGUGUGUGUGUAGUGUGUAUGUGUAUAGUGUGGGAUGUGUGUGUGUAGCAGUGUGUGUUCAUAGUGUGUGUGGUGUGUAUGUAGUGUGAGGUGUGUAUGCAGUGGUGUGUUGUGUGGUGUGUGUGUGUAGUGUGGGAGUGUGUUUCUAGUGAAGUGUGUGUGUAGUGUGGGGUUUGUGUGCAGUGCACGUGUUUUUGGUAUAGUAGUGUGUGUGGCCUGUGUGUAGUGUGGGAAGUGUAUGUGCAGUGUGUGUGGGGGUAUGGUAGUAUGUGUGUGGGGUAUGUGUGUGCAGUGGUGUGUAUGUGUAGUGUGUGUGUUGUGUGUAUUUUUUUGUGUGUAGUUUGGUUGCAUGUGUUUUGUGUGUGUGCAGUAUCAGAUGUGUGUGCAGUGAGGUGUGUGUGUAGUGUGGGAGUGUGUUUAUAGUGAACUGUGUGUGUACACUGUGUGUAGUGUGGGAUGUAUGUGUGCAGUGUGUGUGGAGGUAUGGUAGUAUGUGUGUGGGGUGUGUGUGUGCAGUGGUGUGUGUGAGUUGGGUGUGUGUGCCUGUAGUAUGGGGUGUGUGUGCAGUAGUGUGUGUAUGUGUAGUGUCGUGUGUCAAUGAGUGUAGUGUGCUGUGUAUGUAUGUGUGAUAUGGGCCACCAGGGGUGGGGCAGUUAAGAUUUUUUUUCUUGACUUUGUUCAUUGUGAGAUGAGUAUUAGACUGAUGAAGUAUUCUCCAUCUAGAAUCCAGCCUAAGGAGACAGUCAGAAGUGCUCACCAAGAUUCAGAGGUUCUUCAUUGCCUUACCAUAUUUGUAAGUCACAAACUGGAAGCUACCACAGGGUCCAGCCUUAUGAGAGUGGUGCAGUCAAUCCCAGAUCUUCCAUAUGACAGGGAGCUGGUCAUCCUUCAAAGUGCUGCUUACUAAGAUGACAAUGAGACUGGAAAAUUCUCAUUAAAUAAACAAAUGGCUGGGUAAGUGCUUACUGCAUGGUGUAUUCAUGUUAGUAGAGAAAUAUCUACAAAAUACGCUCGUGGUAAACUCUAUAAAUCAUGAAAAUGUAAAACUGCAAGAAAUCUCAAGGUCAUCGUUUCAAAAUGCAUGCUAUAGUUGAGCAAAAGAAAAAAUCAGUGAAGACUAAGAGGCUGAAGAGUUCCUCAUUUAAGCUGUGACAUUUGAUCCUAUUAGUGGGAAAAGACCUGAACUGAGAGGACCUGUGUCCUCGCCCCUGGUUUUGUUGCUGUUGCUUUGCUGGGUGACCUUGGAGACACCAUUGAACGUCUCUUGGCUCAGCUUUUUCACGGUUAAAUGAGACAGUUGGUAAUUCCUUGUUUUUCAGAGUUUGCAUGGUUUGGAUGCCAUUGGCUCUUCCUUAUAGCAGGGAGUUUUUCAGCUGCAAAGAGCGGUGGAGUUCCUCUCUCCCAGCCCACUCAUAAUUCGGCUUAUGUGCAGAAGGCAGAAGACCUUCCCAAGGGUACACAAUGCUUCUGUAAAUAGCAGUUUAUAGACUUCAGCAGAAGAACCAGAAGCAAACAGAGGAAGUGAAAAUGACCACUAGAAGAAAAACUGAUGACAGAAAAACAAAAUCAAUUAGACUUUAUCUUUAAAAAAAUCAACUAUGACUUUAAUUGAUUUCAAAUAAAAUAUUUCGAUCUUUAUGAGAUACAUUAGAUCGUUGAAAGUCAUGCUUACAGAAAAUAUUAGUGUCUGUGAAGAAAACACUAAGCUUCUGCAAAAGUUUUGCCUCUCACUUCUAGUCACGUCCCCACUGCUAGUCCAUUCUCUGAAAAGUGUACCCAAAGCAAUUUUCUUUUCUUUUUUC
Molecule: long non-coding RNA, 3459 nt
Filed under: Homo sapiens (human)
Lineage: Eukaryota; Metazoa; Chordata; Mammalia; Primates; Hominidae
Description: HSALNT0350296
Source: RNAcentral